Molecule: transfer RNA, 84 nt
Filed under: Paucilactobacillus nenjiangensis
Lineage: Bacteria; Bacillati; Bacillota; Bacilli; Lactobacillales; Lactobacillaceae
Description: tRNA-Leu
Rfam family: tRNA
About the family: Transfer RNA (tRNA) molecules are approximately 80 nucleotides in length.
Source: RNAcentral
GCCGCAGUGGCGGAACUGGCAGACGCGCAUCGUUCAGGUCGAUGUAUGGUUAUCCAUGUGCAGGUUCGAUUCCUGUCUGCGGCA